RNAcentral lists this ribosomal RNA (619 nucleotides) under Microbacterium sp. Its description in RNAcentral is "bacterial SSU rRNA". It matches the Rfam family "Bacterial small subunit ribosomal RNA", at positions 230 to 859 of the family's 1533-position model. The record is from RNAcentral. Lineage: Bacteria; Bacillati; Actinomycetota; Actinomycetes; Micrococcales; Microbacteriaceae.
CUCGCGGCCUAUCAGCUUGUUGGUGAGGUAAUGGCUCACCAAGGCGUCGACGGGUAGCCGGCCUGAGAGGGUGACCGGCCACACUGGGACUGAGACACGGCCCAGACUCCUACGGGAGGCAGCAGUGGGGAAUAUUGCACAAUGGGCGGAAGCCUGAUGCAGCAACGCCGCGUGAGGGACGACGGCCUUCGGGUUGUAAACCUCUUUUAGCAGGGAAGAAGCGAAAGUGACGGUACCUGCAGAAAAAGCACCGGCUAACUACGUGCCAGCAGCCGCGGUAAUACGUAGGGUGCAAGCGUUAUCCGGAAUUAUUGGGCGUAAAGAGCUCGUAGGCGGUUUGUCGCGUCUGCUGUGAAAUCCCGAGGCUCAACCUCGGGCCUGCAGUGGGUACGGGCAGACUAGAGUGCGGUAGGGGAGAUUGGAAUUCCUGGUGUAGCGGUGGAAUGCGCAGAUAUCAGGAGGAACACCGAUGGCGAAGGCAGAUCUCUGGGCCGUAACUGACGCUGAGGAGCGAAAGGGUGGGGAGCAAACAGGCUUAGAUACCCUGGUAGUCCACCCCGUAAACGUUGGGAACUAGUUGUGGGGUCCAUUCCACGGAUUCCGUGACGCAGCUAACGCA